RNAcentral lists this long non-coding RNA (1133 nucleotides) under Equus caballus (horse). RNAcentral's name for it is "lncRNA (ENSECAG00000053520.1)". Lineage: Eukaryota; Metazoa; Chordata; Mammalia; Perissodactyla; Equidae. The record is from RNAcentral.
ACACAGGUGGAAGCUACACCUCUGGCACAGAUUAGGUACCUAAACACACUUCCUGCCUCUGGCUAGUUGUUGGAGCCUGAGCUGCAUAAGCAAAUAAGUACGAGUAGUUUUUUUCUCCCCCUUCGAUCUGAAAACUUAAGGUAGUUUGAUCUGUCUUGCUGGCGCCAACGCUCUACUGGCCAGAGAGAAAGGACACAGAUGGAAAACAGACCCAGCCAGUGAGCACUUGAUUAGAACAUCGCCAUGGGGUUCCUGAGCCGGACAGAUUGAGAACAGCCCUGUCUGAAAAGGAUUCUGAAAUUAUAAUCCAGGUCAGAUUGGAGAGGCAGAAGAGUUUGCAGAUUGCUCAGCCACUGAUUUAAGUGGUGGCCAUGGCAACUAGCUGAACAAGGAACUGUGUCCUUUUAACAUCAAGACUCUGAUUGGUCCAUCCUGAGACAUGUGUGCAUCUCUAGACUAAUUACUGUCUCCAGGGGAAGAGUUUCCAGAGAUAAGGCCAUCCCGCCUUCCUUCUGGAGCAGAGAGGGAGACACCCCCCACAGAUGGAGACUUCCUUCACAAAUGCAAACGUCUCUCAUCAAAGGGCAAGUAAAUUCCACUCCUCUGAGCCUCCCUCUCAUCUGCAGUUUUUUAAAAUUAACCAGCCGAAAUCCUCAUCAGCCAUGGCAACUAGCUGAACAAGGAAUUGUGUCCUUUUAACAUCAAGACUCUGAUUGGUCCAUCCUGAGACAUGUGUGCAUCUCUAGACUAAUUACUGUCUCCAGGGGAAGGAAUUCCCAGUGUCUCAGAAAAUGAUAACCAGCAGGAGAGCGUAUAUAAGAAAAUAGCAUAAAGAUGCUGGCAGCAAACCAAGGUUGGUUACAGAUUAUUUGUGUUGACACUCCUGUCGCUCUAUGUGAAUGCUCCUCUCAUAUCAAGAAGCAAAGUCUGGAUCCAUGAAUCUUGACUGGCCUUGGAACUUGCCUUGACCAACAGAUAGCAUCACAAGCGAUGCUCUGGGAUAUCUGAGCUGAAGCCGUAAAAGAACUGGAAGCUCCCACUCACCUUCUCUUGGAGCCCAGUUGCCCUGCUGUAAAGAAGUCAGACUAGACUGUGGAAUGGUAUGAGAAACUCUGGAGGGGGGGGGGGGGGGG